CGCCAAGCCCCGCCUGCCGUAGGUUUCCAAUUGGUCCUGUUUUCGGAAACUCAGGAGCGAGCCGAGGCCGGGAGGUCCUUAGGUUGGUGUGUGUCUGCGCUGCAAGCGCUCUCUAGAGCUGGCCUGGGGCGAGUAGAGCUUCCAGAUACUUUUGCCGUCAUAUGAAGUUGAACAUGGCAGAAGAGGAGGACUAUAUGUCUGAUUCCUUCAUUAAUGUCCAAGAAGACAUCAGACCAGGCUUGCCAAUGCUGAGGCAGAUCCGGGAAGCCCGUCGAAAAGAAGAAAAGAGACAGGAAGCGAAUCUGAAAAACAGACAAAAGAGUAUAAAAGAAGAAGAACAAGAGAGACGUGACAUGGGGUUGAAGAACGCACUCGGCUGCGAAAACAAAGGGUUUGCUUUGCUUCAGAAAAUGGGGUAUAAAAGCGGUCAGGCCCUUGGCAAGAGCGGAGAUGGUAUUGUUGAACCAAUUCCUCUCAAUGUCAAAACAGGGAAAAGUGGCAUUGGUCAUGAGACAUUAUUAAAACGGAAAGCAGAGGAAAAAUUGGAAAGCUACAGAAGAAAGAUUCACAUGAAAAGCCAAGCUGAAGAAAGAGCAGCAGAACAGUUUCGAAUUCGACUUAAAAAUAAGCAAGACGAAAUGAAGCUAGAAGGAGAUCUUAGAAGAAGUCAGAGAGCCUGUCAACAAUUGGAUACUCAGAAGAAUAUUCAAGUUCCCAGGGAGGCAUGGUACUGGUUGAGACCUGAAGAGGAAACUGAAGAAGAGACAGAGGAAGAAAAAGAACAAGAUGAAGAUGAAUAUAAGAGUGAAGAUUUAAGUGUAUGGUACUGGAAAAAUUACAAAUACUGACUAGUUAUUUAAGAGAAGAACAUCUGUAUUGUAUUUGGUGUGGAACAGCCUAUGAAGAUAACGAAGACCUGUCUUCAAAUUGUCCGGGACCAACUUCUGCAGAUCAUGACUAAGAUUAUUCUCAAUAAAGUGGAAGCUUGGCACAUGUUCUUGUUUCCUAAAGACAGAUAGUUGGGCAGUUAGAAUUCCCAAAUUUGGAUGCCAGUAAAGAAAGGGGACUUCAUAUGUUUUGUUCUUUUUGUACAUUAGAAGUACUUUGUACUUUAGAAUAUAAUUGGUUACUAACUUCAACAUAUAAUGGAAAGCCAUUGCAGAGCACAAGUAUUAUAGACACCAGCAAUUACAGUUCAUGACUCUAUCAUGACGUUUAUGGGGUUUAAGGACACCAGCUCUCUUAUUCCCUUCUUCACUUUGGAACAAAUUGAGAAAUAAGACAUGGGAGUUUGAGAUCAAAAUAUCAAUUUUAUUACUAAUGGAAUGAAGAGCUACUUGACUUGUUCUCCAGCCACACUCCCUGUGAGAUCUCCCUGCUUAGAGAGAACUGCAGACCUUGCCUCAGAGGAAGAAUAGAGCCCAUCUCAGCUGUCAAGGUGAGAGAGCCAGCCCUCGGGGCAGAGGAGAGGCAUGCAUCCUCAGUUCCUUUUCCCAAAACCACGCAUCAGGAGAGAUACAGCUCUGUUGAGAAGGAACGAAUACAGGCUCGCAGAACUUCUUCCCACAAUUCUGCCUUCCAGGGAGCAAGAAGAGGUUCCCUUCCCUGCAUUCAAGCAUGAGGAGGAGGUGAAAAGUAUUCCCCUCAAUGAGAGUGUCAGAGGCAAGGUUCCAUUAGUAGUACUUAAUUCUAAUGAGUUUUAGAGACAGAGUAAUUAUGAUAUUCCAUAAAGUCAUGAGUUUUCAUGGCAACGUGUGUAUCUAUUGCAAGUUUUGGCUAAAGAAACAAUAGUUGGGAGUAACCUGAAACAUCAGGUGAUCCAAAUUCUUAGUCGUUUGACAACAUUCCCAGCAGGUGGUAAUCCUGCCGCUACCUUGAUUUGUCCAGCCGCAGACAGCUCAUUGCCUUAGAAGAGCUGGGUAGCACUAAGUCAUUUUUAAAGUUAUUUUUCUGUCUUAAGCUGAAUUCUGCUUCCCUAUAACUUAACCAAAUACAGCUAAAGACAUACCAUGUGGCAUAUUCCUAGAGAGGUCCGUGUAAGUUUGGGCAUCAAAAUCAUGAACUUUUUUUAAAGUUCCCACACUCAGGAACUACCCUUAGUGACUUGACUCAGCUAGUCUAGGAUUGUUUCUAGGUAUCUAUUUAUUUUAAAGUUCUGAGUCUGAUUAUCACCUGUGGAUAAGAACUAGUGCUCUAGGUUAAACCAGAGCACAACUGUUCUUUGGAUCAAGUUGUGACCUUACCUGUAUAGUUUUAUAGCACACCUUUCUGAAGCACUGAGCAAGAGAUCAGCCUCUUAUUAUAAACAGCAUACUUGAGAACAUAGCAGAAGCUAACCUACACUUACCCAAGUUAUCAAUAGUAUGAGUUGUAUUAACCUCUGACCAAAUAUGACCUAAUUCACUUGUCCUCAAGUUUAACUUGGAGAGCUUUAAAAAAAUGAUAAUACAAAGAUUAUCAUACUUCCAGAGAGUCUAUAUAAUUGAUCAUUCUGGCCUGAGCACCACUAUCCUUGAUACCAACAUGCAGUAGAGUUUGAAAACCUAGUCAAUGUCUGGGCCUCAGUUCUUCAUCUAGAAACUGAAUUAUGAUUUUUAUGAGUAUAAAUACAUAUGUAAAACACUGGACAUAUAGUUGGACAAUACUGUUUUGAUAUGUACCUUUUUCAUGUAAAAAAUAGUAACAUUGUAUUAACAGAUAAAACAUGAGUGCAUCUUCUUCUUGCAGUUAUAAUCACAUGCUUGCCUGUCAUGUUAGCCAUCAUAAUGACAUUCGUUCUGUCAGACCCAAAGCCAUGUGGAUUCUUUCAGACAGAAUGGAGUUAGGAACUGGAUUUUUUCUCCUUGCACUAUGGAGCUACCUGCCCGGUGGCCUAGAGUAUUUUAAAUAUGUUCGUGAGUAUAUUCAUUAACAUAAGAAUAGGAAUAACCGUGACAGCACCCAUGAGUCCACCAGAGUUGGGGUCUGCAUCUCCAGGCCAGAGCCCAGCACUCAGCCUGCCUUGGAGAGUGGGAGACAUCCCUCCAUUACCACCACCAAUGAAAACUACAGAUUUUCAGUAUGAGUAAAAGCUUACUUUUAUUCAUAAACGCCUUUUACAACUUCAUAACCAGACAAUAAUGGAAACCAAGGGGUGCAAAAUACUAAAAAGAAUUUUUAAACUUGCUUUAGAACAUAAGUGACAUUUGAAACAUAAAUUUUAACAGGUCAGGUUGUCAUUUACUUUUGACCAUAUUAUGUUAAUACUAUGUUUAUUGUCAAAGUCCUAUCUAGAAUUUCUAAAAUGUUUGAUUUUCCUCAUUAUCAACUCAAAAUACUGAAGCUUCUAAAAUUCAAAAUAAAGAGAUUUUAAUACUGGUUUACCUACCCACUUCCAAGUGUUAUAUACCAACAUUUAAUUGUUGAAAUUUUACAAUGAACAAUUAUUUCAUAUCAGACACAUUUUGUAGGAUCAGGCAUAUAAAAUUCUUGGCAGUUUUAUUCCCUACUAAUUCAAAAGCACUUAGAGAGUUCCUGCUUUAUGCAGGGUAAUACACUUGCUUCCUUAAGGUAAAUCAACUGUCCCUGCUUUCCAGAAAUUUACAAGGAGGAGGACACCCACACAGGAAUAACUUGAGUGCCAAGGCAAACUGAUAAGUACCAUACUGAAGUACUAAGCACUAGGAGUACUAGGGAGAGGUUUCAUUCUGUAUGGGAGAUGGUAAAACACUAUGGUAGCAACACUGAAUUUGGGCUCUGAACAUCAUUUUCAUAUCCAAAGUCACUAGGAAGGAGUUACAGUAAGACCCGUGUUUCUACUCCCAGGUAUAUACCCAGGAGAAAUGGAAACAUAUGUUCACAUAAAACUUGGACACGAAUAUUCAUAGCAGUAUUCAUAAUAGCCAGAAAACAGAAACCCAAAUGUCCAUCAGCUGAUGAAUAGGUAAAUUUAAUGUAUCCAUGUAGUUGAAUAUUAUUUGGCAACAGAAGGGAAAGGAAUUUCCACCCAAGCUAUAUCAUAGAUGACACUUGAAAACAUUAAGUGAAAAUGAUCACAUGUUGUAUGAUUGUGUUGUAUGAUUCCACUUAAAUGAAAUGUCCCAAGCAGGCAAGUCUAUGGAGACUGAACGUGGAGGAGUGGUUGCAGAGAAUUAGGGGAAGAUGAGGAAAGCCUGCUAACAAGUACUGGGUUUCUUUCUGGGGAGACGAAAGUGUUUUGAAAUCGAUUGUGGUGAUGGCUGCAUGACUCUGAACAUACUAACCACUGUAUACUUUAAAUUGUAUACUUUAAAUGGGGUGAAUUUUAGAGUAUGUGAAAUUAUGUCUCAAUAAAGCUGUUAUUUUACAAAAAAAAAGAAAAAGAUUGAAGGGAAUUUUAGGUGGAAACCAUAGCUAAGAGCCAUUGAGCACAAAAGCCUAUUUAGGUGACCCUGAGCAGACCUGUGUGGCUGGGACUUAAUCAGGUAACGCUGAACAUGGGAUGCAAAACGGGAGCGCCCAGAGGAGCACAGCCCUGCCAACACUUUGACUUGAGCCCAGUGAAACUCUGGCCUCCCGAACUGUAAGAAAAUAAAUGUGUGUUGUUUUCAGCCGCCAA
Molecule: RNA transcript, 4576 nt
Organism: Bubalus bubalis (water buffalo)
Lineage: Eukaryota; Metazoa; Chordata; Mammalia; Artiodactyla; Bovidae
Gene: GPATCH11
Gene name: G-patch domain containing 11
Exons: 9
Source: RefSeq, a predicted model, not a curated record